GGCGAACGCUGGCGGCGUGCUUAACACAUGCAAGUCGAACGGAAAGGCCCUGCUUUUGUGGGGUGCUCGAGUGGCGAACGGGUGAGUAACACGUGAGUAACCUGCCCUUGACUUUGGGAUAACUUCAGGAAACUGGGGCUAAUACCGGAUAGGAGCUCCUGCUGCAUGGUGGGGGUUGGAAAGUUUCGGCGGUUGGGGAUGGACUCGCGGCUUAUCAGCUUGUUGGUGGGGUAGUUGCUUACCAAGGCUUUGACGGGUAGCCGGCCUGAGAGGGUGACCGGCCACAUUGGGACUGAGAUACGGCCCAGACGCCUACGGGAGGCAGCAGUGGGGAAUAUUGCACAAUGGGCGGAAGCCUGAUGCAGCAACGCCGCGUGCGGGAUGACGGCCUUCGGGUUGUAAACCGCUUUCGCCUGUGACGAAGCGUGAGUGACGGUAAUGGGUAAAGAAGCACCGGCUAACUACGUG
RNAcentral lists this ribosomal RNA (468 nucleotides) under uncultured bacterium. RNAcentral describes it as "partial 16S ribosomal RNA". It matches the Rfam family "Bacterial small subunit ribosomal RNA", at positions 28 to 507 of the family's 1533-position model. The record is from RNAcentral.